UAAAUAAAUAAAGCAAUAUUUAUUUAUCUUAUUUAAUGUUAAUUUAAAUUUCAGUUUUUACUAAUACAUUAUUAAAAUCAAAAGUUGUAUCUGUUAACAUUAUUUAAUGUACCUGAGCUGUCGUGAACUAAUAAUGAACAGCUGUUUAUUAACUAAUUUUAACAAUACUGUAAGAAACGUUCAUUGCUCAUUGUUAGGUAAUGUCAAUUAAUGCAUUAAUAGAACCUUUUUGUAAAGGGAACCUUAUUGUAUUUGUAAUCGUCUUUUAAAGCCCUGUGUCCCAGGUUUGGUUAGCACAGAAGACCGUGUGGAGUGCAAGCUUUGUCCCGCUGGUUUCUCUUGUGACAGCGCAUCAGGCAACCUUACAGCGUGUCUGUCAGGACAGUAUUCUCCAGAGGGACUCACUCAGUGUCUGCCAUGCCCCUUUGGCUUUGUUUGCAUAGAGGGUUUUCAAAUGAAGGUGGGCACAAACUAAAGUGCUGCUUAAGAGAUUUUUUCCCUCCCUUUUGGUAAUAUUACACUCAACCUAAGCAUAAACUUUGGUGUAAAUCAUUUUUAUUUGUUCACUUCACUAUUUUAGUGUGGCCUCGGAGAAGAACCAAACUUCAACCAGACAGAGUGUGUUGAGUGUGCUGAAGGCUACUAUUCCACUCUGUGCGGUGCUCAAUGUCAGCUGUGUCCUGCAGGAAGCCACUGUCCGUACAAAAAGAUGUCUGCACCUCUUCCUUGUCCCGUGGGCCAUUAUUCAGACAUUCCGGGCCAGACUGAGUGUAAAAAAUGCAAUGGUUCAUCAGCCUGCAGGAGUACAGUGACUCCGGUCUGGUCAAGGGGACAGUCUCAUCUUGGUCAGAGGUCAAGACAGCUUAUCUCCUGUCCCCCUGGGACAUACCGAGACGGAGAAAGAUCAGACUGUGUUGUGUGUCCUGCAGGUGAGUCAGUAUUUCAGAUAGGGCUGCUCGCUUUUCACAUUCAAUACCACAUUUUGAUUGUUAACAUUUGUUUUUGCAGGGCAUUACUGUGUUGCAAAUAUUGCGAUACAAUGCCCGGAAGGAACUUAUGGACCAAAGGAGGGGCUACAGAGAGAAAGGGACUGUGCUAUUUGUCCUGCAGGUUUUUACUGUUUGGAGGGCACGUCUCGGAGGCCGAGCUCUCAGUUUCUGUGCCCACAAGGGUAUUACUGUGAGGAAGGCACGGGUGUGCCGCACGGGUCACCUUGCCCUGCUGGAACUGCAGGAGGACAACUGGGUCAGACAAGUAGGGCAGCUUGCAAGAGGUGUGCAGAGGGUCGCUUCUGUCCCGCAGGUUAGGGCAUGAAACCAAGACACACAUAUGCAUGAUCACAUUCAUACACACAUAUACAGUAUGCAUAAUUAUCUUUUGUUUUUUGUUGACAUGAUAUUAUCUGUGAAAGAUGACUGGGCUUCUAUAGACAUACUCUUUUGUAGAAACCUAAAUAGUGAAAUGUUAUGAUUUUGUGUUUUACCGAAGAUUGCAGUAAGCUGCAACUUUAAUUUUCCUAAACCCACAUGAGCCACUGCUGUUAAACGGUUUCCUGCCCUCAACUGUUU
Molecule: long non-coding RNA, 1568 nt
Organism: Cyprinus carpio (common carp)
Lineage: Eukaryota; Metazoa; Chordata; Actinopteri; Cypriniformes; Cyprinidae
Source: Ensembl